CCUACGGGUGGCAGCAGUGAGGAAUAUUGGUCAAUGGGCGGAAGCCUGAACCAGCCAAGUCGCGUGAGGGAUGAAGGUUCUAUGGAUCGUAAACCUCUUUUGUCAGGGAAUAAAGUGCGGGACGUGUCCCGUUUCGUAUGUACCUUGAGAAAAAGGAUCGGCUAACCCCGUGCCAGCAGCCGCGGUAAUUCGGAGGAUCCGAGCGUUAUCCGGAUUUAUUGGGGUUAAAGGGUGCGUAGGCGGCCUUUUAAGUCAGCGGGGAAAGUCUGUGGCUCAACCAUAGCAGUGCCGUUGAAACUGGGUGUCUUGAGUACGUUUGAGGCAGGCGGAAUGCGUGGUGUAGCGGUGAAAUGCUGAGAUAUCACGCAGAACCCCGAUUGCGAAGGCAGCCUGCCGAGCCAUGACUGACGCUGAUGCACGAAAGCGUGGGGAUCAAACAGGAUUAGAUACCCGAGUAGUC
Molecule: ribosomal RNA, 460 nt
Filed under: uncultured bacterium
Lineage: Bacteria
Description: partial 16S ribosomal RNA
Rfam family: Bacterial small subunit ribosomal RNA
Source: RNAcentral